This is a long non-coding RNA of Daktulosphaira vitifoliae (grape phylloxera), 1751 nucleotides long. RefSeq lists it as uncharacterized. The record is from RefSeq and is a predicted model, not a curated record. The transcript is spliced from 3 exons. NCBI's taxonomy places the organism in Eukaryota, Metazoa, Arthropoda, Insecta, Hemiptera, Phylloxeridae.
UUCAAAAGUUUAUUCGUUAAAAGUUAUCGUAUUAUAAUACCAUGACCUUUAACCAUAGUGGUCAUUAUAAUAAACACUAGUAUUAAGCAGUAAAUUAGGCAUACAUAACAUUUUUUUUUACAAAAGAGACUUUUAGUGUAUAUAGUAAAAAUAGAAAAACACAAUUUCCGUUUAAUGAGUUUAAAAGACCAAUUUUAUACUAAAUUUAGCUUACUUGUUUUCAAGGUAAAUUGAUUUCCUAUUGUUUAUAUUAAAUUUAAAGUGUUAAAAAUAUUCAGUUUAUGCUAAGACAGUUUUUUGGGGGAUUUUAACAAUGCUUUUGAAUUAACGAAAAAAUGUAAAACUUAAAAUUAACUAUACUUGUUUGAUUUUAUGAUAAUCGUUGGUACAUUAUUUAAGUUAAAUUUUUAAAGAAUAGUUUACAUUUUAUUGUAUAUCUAUUAGGUACUCUUGUUCAAGUUACCUUAUACGUUAAGUGAUCUGAUUUUUUCAAACGAAUCUUAGCUUCAAACAUUUCAAAUACAGCCAUUAUCAUCAACAAUAUUUAUUUUAAUAGUGUUUACUCAUUGCUAAAUACUUAGUUAAUAAUAUAAUGGAAUUUUUACUACAUAAAUCGACAAACACAAUUACAUAAAAAACUUAGAUAUAUGUUGAUAUCACGAAAUUAUGCGUCACUGUAAUAGUUUGACUAGAAAUUCGACAGAACCAAAGGUGCACCAUUAACAAGAUUGGCAGGAAUUUUGUUUCUUCGGAAUGUUUUGAUUAUCACGAAAUAAAACUAAAAAGAAAAACAUUUAUUAACAUAAAAAGUACUAAGUAUUAAUGGGUAAGACUCAAAAUUCGAUUGAUAAAGAGUUUCAAAUAAAGCAUGUUUGCUGAUUCCUCUUUAGAUGUCAAAAUAACAUGAUUAUUUCUUAAAGUGGGACAUAAUACGUAUUGAAGUAUAGCGGUAGUCCUCCGAUGGCCGAUGCUCAAUGAAGACCGCCAUACGAAGGGGUAUUGCGGAAUCAAGAAAUAAUCGAAACCGGAUGUGUGUGGCCACUGGUUUUAUAACCUGUAGAAAAAAAAAUAGCACGUUUACUGGAUUAUUAUCAUGCACCACCCAGAAAUCACAGAAGAAGGUAUACUGAAAAGAAUACGAUGGGCUUCAGGAAAAAAAGGAAUAAAAUGUGUAGAAAAAAGAUCCGUUUACCCGUUGUAUUAUGUUCAUUUUAACAACGGUGACAAUAUUAACACGUGUUAACCGGUUGGAGAAUAGCAAUAAUAGCGUUAAUUAUCAUUUCAAAAAACCAAUAAAAUUCUCACACCACAAAUAUAAACGUAAUUUUAUAGAAUUUUAUGAGCAAUUAAAAAAGGUGUUUGAGGAAAAAUCAAGAAAUAAAUUUAGACCAAGUUGUUACUUGUCAGUGACGUAUUUAGGGUUCGCUCGGGUGAGUGACUACAUAAGAAAAAUUGUUUACUUCAUCUUCCAAACAAAUAAAUUUAUCUUCGCCAUUAUUAUUGCCAUAAGGGGUAGGACAUCCGACUCCAAUUAAAUUACGCCAGUGUCACUUGUAACGAACAUUAGAACUGCAACGGACUAAAAUAUUCGAUAAUUUCCCCAACAACAUUUAUUUGUUCAAAAAUUUAGCAAAUACAAUGAUUACAUUAUUGAAAUUAUAAAUCAGCUAAUAAAGUUUAGUAAUCGCUUCUGUAAGUGUAAGAAAACAUUAUUUUUUAUCGAAUAAAGGUAUUAAAAUUUAUAAUAAUUC